GAGCAAAUAAGAAAAUAUGUUUUAAUUGUGGGGAUGCUGCUGUGCUAAACAAAGCUUUGGAGGUAAAUUAGCAGCAUAGCUCAUUUUUUAGCCAUUGCUGUCAGUCUCCUUUAGACAAGU
This 120-nucleotide small nucleolar RNA is filed under the name Pteropus vampyrus (large flying fox). The record is from RNAcentral. Lineage: Eukaryota; Metazoa; Chordata; Mammalia; Chiroptera; Pteropodidae.